Non-coding RNA from Paramuricea clavata, 597 nucleotides. The record is from the annotation of a GenBank genome assembly. Lineage: Eukaryota; Metazoa; Cnidaria; Anthozoa; Malacalcyonacea; Plexauridae.
UGAGGAGGAUUCGGGAAAUAUUACCCUCAGUGAUGAUAUUUCCCUCGGGAAAUAUCUUCGGAUAAUAUUUCGCCGAAUCCUCCUCGCUCCAGGUCUAUAAAUGAUAAAUAUCCAUGGUAUGUAAAUUGCAAUUAGUAUGAAAAUUGGAUUUCCAUACUAUUUCCAACGAAGAUCCAUGCUAUUUCCAUAGUAAGGAUUUGAAAACAAUUUCCAGUGGUUGUCUUUCAAAGAGAUUCGAAAUGAGUUACCUAUAAAUUGUGUGUUUUAAUGCAGCAAAUGGAACUAAAAUCCCAUAUGAAGGUUGGGUAGAGCUCAAGUUUGGGUUAUGUGCCCCAACCAAUGGCCAUGAAGUAGUUGUGUCAUCUACGAAUGGGUACGAAUACCAUUUGGAGUUUGGACUGCGAAACGCACCUGGGGAGUUCCAACGUUUCAUGAAAAACUGUUUAACGGACUUACGUGAUGAAAUCUGCAUCCCGGAAAAGGACGAUGUCAUUGUCUUUAGUAAAAUUUUUGAGGAACAUAUUGAACAUGGUCGAAAGGUUUGCAAAGAUUACGCCAACAUGGUGUAAAGUCGAAGGCGAAAAAGUGUAAACUAUA